UGUUUGAUGUUCUAACGUGGACCCGUGAUCCGGGUUGCGGACAGUGUCUGGUGGGUAGUUUGACUGGGGCGGUCUCCUCCUAAAGAGUAACGGAGGAGCACGAAGGUUGGCUAAUCCUGGUCGGACAUCAGGAGGUUAGUGCAAUGGCAUAAGCCAGCUUGACUGCGAGCGUGACGGCGCGAGCAGGUGCGAAAGCAGGUCAUAGUGAUCCGGUGGUUCUGAAUGGAAGGGCCAUCGCUCAACGGAUAAAAGGUACUCCGGGGAUAACAGGCUGAUACCGCCCAAGAGUUCAUAUCGACGGCGGUGUUUGGCACCUCGAUGUCGGCUCAUCACAUCCUGGGGCUGAAGUAGGUCCCAAGGGUAUGGCUGUUCGCCAUUUAAAGUGGUACGCGAGCUGGGUUUAGAACGUCGUGAGACAGUUCGGUCCCUAUCUGCCGUGGGCGCUGGAGAACUGAGGGGGGCUGCUCCUAGUACGAGAGGACCGGAGUGGACGCAUCACUGGUGUUCGGGUUGUCAUGCCAAUGGCACUGCCCGGUAGCUAAAUGCGGAAGAGAUAAGUGCUGAAAGCAUCUAAGCACGAAACUUGCCCCGAGAUGAGUUCUCCCUGAGACUUUAAGUCUCCUGAAGGAA
This 630-nucleotide ribosomal RNA is filed under the name Salmonella enterica subsp. enterica serovar Panama. Its description in RNAcentral is "partial 23S ribosomal RNA". It matches the Rfam family "Bacterial large subunit ribosomal RNA", at positions 2211 to 2845 of the family's 2925-position model. Lineage: Bacteria; Pseudomonadati; Pseudomonadota; Gammaproteobacteria; Enterobacterales; Enterobacteriaceae. The record is from RNAcentral.